CUGCCGGCGACCGGCGCACGGGUGAGUAACACGUAUGGAACCUGCCCGCGGCAGGGGGAUAAGCGGAAGAAAUUCCGUCUAAUACCGCGUAACAACGUUGGGAGGCAUCUCCCGAUGUUUAAAGAUUUAUCGGCUGCGGAUGGCCAUGCGGCGCAUUAGCUAGUCGGCGGGGUAACGGCCCACCGAGGCGACGAUGCGUAGGGGUUCUGAGAGGAAGGUCCCCCACACUGGUACUGAGACACGGACCAGACUCCUACGGAAGGCAGCAG
This 269-nucleotide ribosomal RNA is filed under the name uncultured bacterium. Its description in RNAcentral is "partial 16S ribosomal RNA". It matches the Rfam family "Bacterial small subunit ribosomal RNA", at positions 85 to 354 of the family's 1533-position model. The record is from RNAcentral.